GUGGGUCAAAAAUCAGCCAUGGCAUGGUCUCAGUAUAAGCUUCUAUACGGCGAAACUGGCGAAUGGGCUCAUUAAAACAGUUAUAGUUUAUUUGGUGGUCAGCAAUUACAUGGGAUAACCGUGGUAAUUCUAGAGCUAAUACAUAGCGCCCAAACCCGACUUCGUGGAAGGGUUGUGUUUAUUAGAUACAGAACCAACCCAGGCUCCGCCUGGCCUUGAGGUGAUUCAUAAUAACCGAACGAAUCGCAUGGCUAUGCCGGCGAUAGACCAUUCAAGUUUCUGACCUAUCAGCUAUCGUCGGUAGGGUAUUGGCCUACCGUGGCAAUGACGGGUAACGGAGAAUUAGGGUUCGAUUCCGGAGAGGGGGCCUGAGAAACGGCUACCACAUCUAAGGAAGGCAGCAGGCGCGCAAAUUACCCAAUCCUGACGCAGGGAGGUAGUGACAAGAAAUAACAAUACAGGGCAUACAUGUCUUGUAAUUGGAAUGAGUAAACUUUAAA
Molecule: ribosomal RNA, 500 nt
Filed under: uncultured eukaryote
Lineage: Eukaryota
Description: SSU rRNA
Rfam family: Eukaryotic small subunit ribosomal RNA
Source: RNAcentral